UUCAUUCGUGGCGGGUCACUUUUCUCCAUUUUGGAGAUUGUCUAGCCUUUCGUUAAACGUGGACCAUGCAAACACACGAAACAUACAAUGUCCUACUGUUCACGCUCUCCCUUCAUCUUUGAUUAGUUUGAGGCCUCCAAUUCCUAGCUACUUAUCUAGAGAGGAAAUUAAUUAAGGAAGAUCGAUCGAUCGAUAGAUAGAUAUACGAUGAAGGACCAGCUACUAUUUUCCAGUGAUGAAUCAACAACAGAUCAUCCUGAUGACUAUUCUAAUUCUUCAAGAUCAAUAGCUCCUAAUGAUAAUGAUAGUGAUAAUAACAACUAUUAUUGGUGGAGAUGGGCUGCAGAGUUUGAUCAUGUAAAGAAGAUGCAGAUGAAGCUUGAUCAUGAGCGCCUCAUAUUCCCUGGCGGUGGCAGGGCAUCUAGUCAUUUUACAGCGGCAGCAAGGAUGCGAGUGGUGAGAGAGUUGGAGAGACUGCUUUGGUAUCAACCCAUCAGGAAGGGGUGAAUGAACUUCGGCACAAGCUGCUCAUGUAUCGCUCGGGUGACUUCUGGAUGCCAACAGGAGGUCUCGCUAAGGAAAACAUGGACAUUCCGCCGGUGGCCACAAUUCUCUUGGUUGGCUUCUCUGCUUCUGGUAAAAGCUCUCUUGUCAACCUCAUGUACUCCGUUUUGGGUCGCUCUGGACUCGUACCCUUUGCUCAAACAUCACCACCACCUGGAAGUUUUUCAAAUAAUCCGAAGAGUACUAGUAUGAUUCUGAAAGAGCACAAUGUGCUGAGGUCUUUGCGAAGUGGCUUCUGUGUGUAUGACUCGAGGGGAUUUGACUACAACCGAAUAGGCGAGGGCCUUGAAGAAUUGUCAAGUUGGAUGAGUGAUGGGAUUCACCAUAACCAAGUGUGCUUGAGACCAGGCGAUGACGUCGAAGAAUCUGUGUUGAUGAAUCUUCCUGAUAUGGAUGUGAUUUCAAAGUUUGCGAGGAGGAAAGUCAAUUGUGCAAUGGUGGUGGCUAACAUGGCAGAAAUCUACAAGGCCUUUCAAGCUGGUGAUUCUAAGCCAAUGGACGCCACAAAACAGCUUUUCUGCUCUGUCAAUAAUGCUUUCACCAAUAUUUACAAUGAUGAGAGCACCAUUUUGAUCUUGACACAUGGUGACAUGUUAACAACGGAGGAGAGGAUUGAAGGGCGGCUGAAAAUAUGUGAGUGCCUCGGUGUAUCGGAGACGAGUGGAGUAUACGACAUCGUGACGUGCCUUAGCGAGUAUGGAUUUCUGGCAGAAGAAUCAGACCCGGUUUCAGCCUACGCCCUGAGUGAAGCAGUAUAUAUGGCGUUGCUCCUAUCAGACAGGACCCACUCUCCCAAAAAAACCCUUGGGGACUUGGCAGUGCUUAUAUUGUCCUCCAUCAUGUGCUUUCUAGCUUCUAUAUUUGGUCUCCUUGCUCAGAUUUGCCUCAAACUCGGUCGACACAGCAAAGAUGUAUAGAAUCAAUCAGGUUUAGUGGUGGGGGCUGUUGGAAAGUCACCCAGGCCUAGAGCAAUUUGGUUUUUUUUUUUUUUUUUUUUUUUUUUUUUCAGUAAGGUAAGGAUUAGGAUUCAUUUCAUUUUUUCUAGAAUUCAAGAUUAUUAUCCUGUUUGUUUCAUGUUCAGGCUUUAUAUAUAAUUGCAACUCAGUAGGAAAGAUUAAAUCUUGUAGAGAUGUAGUCCUUUUAUUAUGUAGUUGUCUUGAAAUAAGUUAUCAUAAUUUGUAAUCAGUUUUUCUUCC
Molecule: RNA transcript, 1760 nt
Organism: Pyrus x bretschneideri (Chinese white pear)
Lineage: Eukaryota; Viridiplantae; Streptophyta; Magnoliopsida; Rosales; Rosaceae
Exons: 3
Source: RefSeq, a predicted model, not a curated record